UACGGGGGAUGCGAGCGUUAUCCGGAUUUAUUGGGUUUAAAGGGUGCGUAGGCGGCGCUUCAGGUCAGCGGUGAAAUACCGGGGCUCAACAUCGGGGCUGCCGCUAAUACUGUAGGACUAGAGAUCGGAUGCAGCAGGCGGAAUGUGUAGUGUAGCGGUGAAAUGCAUAGAUAUUACACAGAACACCGAUUGCGAAGGCAGCUUGCUAGGCCGGAUCUGACACUGAUGCACGAAAGCGUGGGGAUCGAACAGG
This 253-nucleotide ribosomal RNA is filed under the name uncultured Rikenellaceae bacterium. RNAcentral describes it as "partial 16S ribosomal RNA". It matches the Rfam family "Bacterial small subunit ribosomal RNA", at positions 524 to 776 of the family's 1533-position model. Lineage: Bacteria; Pseudomonadati; Bacteroidota; Bacteroidia; Bacteroidales; Rikenellaceae. The record is from RNAcentral.